This 642-nucleotide ribosomal RNA is filed under the name uncultured Actinomycetes bacterium. RNAcentral describes it as "bacterial SSU rRNA". It matches the Rfam family "Bacterial small subunit ribosomal RNA", at positions 232 to 885 of the family's 1533-position model. The record is from RNAcentral. Lineage: Bacteria; Bacillati; Actinomycetota; Actinomycetes.
CGCGGCCUAUCAGCUUGUUGGUGGGGUGAUGGCCUACCAAGGCUUUGACGGGUAGCCGGCCUGAGAGGGCGACCGGCCACACUGGGACUGAGACACGGCCCAGACUCCUACGGGAGGCAGCAGUGGGGAAUAUUGCGCAAUGGGCGGAAGCCUGACGCAGCGACGCCGCGUGAGGGAUGACGGCCUUCGGGUUGUAAACCUCUUUCGGUAGGGACGAAGCGCAAGUGACGGUACCUACAGAAGAAGCGCCGGCCAACUACGUGCCAGCAGCCGCGGUAAGACGUAGGGCGCAAGCGUUGUCCGGAUUUAUUGGGCAUAAAGAGCUCGUAGGCGGCGUGUCGCGUCGUCCGUGAAAACUUCAGGCUUAACCUGGAGCGUGCGGUCGAUACGGGCAUGCUAGAGGCAGGUAGGGGAGAUCGGAAUUCCUGGUGUAGCGGUGAAAUGCGCAGAUAUCAGGAGGAACACCGGUGGCGAAGGCGGAUCUCUGGGCCUGUACUGACGCUGAGGAGCGAAAGCGUGGGGAGCGAACAGGAUUAGAUACCCUGGUAGUCCACGCUGUAAACGUUGGGCGCUAGGUGUGGGGGGCUUCAUUGUUCUCCGUGCCGUAGCUAACGCAUUAAGCGCCCCGCCUGGGGAGUACGG